GAGAUUCCCCCAGUAGCGGCGAGCGAACGGGGAGCAGCCCAGAGCCUGAAUCAGUGUGUGUGUUAGUGGAAGCGUCUGGAAAGGCGCGCGAUACAGGGUGACAGCCCCGUACACAAAAAUGCACAUACUGUGAGCUCGAUGAGUAGGGCGGGACACGUGGUAUCCUGUCUGAAUAUGGGGGGACCAUCCUCCAAGGCUAAAUACUCCUGACUGACCGAUAGUGAACCAGUACCGUGAGGGCAAGGCGAAAAGAA
This 254-nucleotide ribosomal RNA is filed under the name Escherichia coli. RNAcentral's name for it is "partial 23S ribosomal RNA". It matches the Rfam family "Bacterial large subunit ribosomal RNA", at positions 231 to 523 of the family's 2925-position model. Lineage: Bacteria; Pseudomonadati; Pseudomonadota; Gammaproteobacteria; Enterobacterales; Enterobacteriaceae. The record is from RNAcentral.